This 253-nucleotide ribosomal RNA is filed under the name uncultured bacterium. RNAcentral describes it as "partial 16S ribosomal RNA". It matches the Rfam family "Bacterial small subunit ribosomal RNA", at positions 524 to 776 of the family's 1533-position model. The record is from RNAcentral.
UACAGAGGGGGCAAGCGUUAUUCGGAAUUAUUGGGCGUAAAGGGCGCGUAGGCGGCUUGGCAAGUGGAUGGUGAAAUCCCUCGGCUUAACCGAGGAACUGCCGUCCAAACUGCUUCGCUUGAGACCGGGAGAGGUGAGUGGAAUUCCCAGUGUAGCGGUGAAAUGCGUAGAUAUUGGGAGGAACACCAGUGGCGAAGGCGGCUCACUGGACCGGUACUGACGCUGAUGCGCGAAAGCGUGGGGGGCAAACGGG